GUGGGUCUGAAAAGUGUAGUGUGUACGCAGACCUUACCCUUACCCUUGGGUAGAGAUAAUGUUUUCAAAUAGACCCCCGGCAUCCUUCCCUCCAAGAACUUUCUACCUUGCUCUUGGGGAGACUCGAACUCACAACCUCUCGGUUGGAAGUGGGGUUUGCUUACCAUCAGAGCAACCCCUCUUGUCAUGUGGCACCUCUCUAAUGCUUGAAGAAAAAAGGUUAUCUUUUUUGUCAUUUUUUUGCCUUUUCCUCUCACUUCUCUAUUAAAUAUCUGUUUUUUUGUUCCAACGUAAUGUAAACCUGCAACUAUUCAGCUACUAUAAUGAUCGGUUACAAAGGUUGGAGUCAAACAAUAAUGGGUUGUGGUUGAAUUCUCUUCCUAUUAAACAUCCUUAGAUAAAUUGUCAAUUAAAAAAUAAUUUCUUUGCACUGCUUUAAAUUCAGGCAAACUAUUCAUCUGGACUCUAUUGCUUAUGUUGUAGUUAUGAUGGAAGUGAAAAACUAUUAAAAAUGCACAAGAAUUUUAACAUAUUCCAAUCAAGAGAGAUACUACCUAAGCUUUUGGCUUUACCUUUCAAUAGGAGGAAAAAGAGUCUGGCAUUUGUUCUUCGGGGAAGAAGGGGUUUGGCUGAAAGGUAUUUGCAGUUUGUUAGGCUAUAGCCAUACAUAAAGAUUUUAGGUGUGCCAGUUUAUAUGUGCAUAUUCUUUAAUGGUAUAUUUUUGUUAAUUAUUUUUGGUUCCAAUUUGCUAAUUGCAAUGGUGGGUUAUUGUAAAUUUAUUUGUCUUGAGUUAGCAAGUUGUUGAAAUUAUAUCAAUGUUUGAAUUCCAAUACAGACUAUGCGUGUGGUAAUUACAUUGCCCUUGACGGAUUUCCA
RNAcentral lists this long non-coding RNA (876 nucleotides) under Nicotiana benthamiana. Its description in RNAcentral is "long non-coding RNA (NBEN_LNC008743)". The record is from RNAcentral. Lineage: Eukaryota; Viridiplantae; Streptophyta; Magnoliopsida; Solanales; Solanaceae.